Durio zibethinus is the source of this 1836-nucleotide non-coding RNA. NCBI's taxonomy places the organism in Eukaryota, Viridiplantae, Streptophyta, Magnoliopsida, Malvales, Malvaceae. The record is from RefSeq and is a predicted model, not a curated record.
UUUAGCGACUUCUUUUUUAAUGAAAAAUGCCUCUACUGUAUAGAAUUUAGUAGCGAUCGUAAAUACAAACAUCACUAAUUUCCUUCAAAAAAUUAGAAAUCGACCUAGCCACUUUUUUUCCCUCUCUUCCCUUUUUACCUUUUUCUGCUGUAGAUUUUCCUCUCGAUUUUCAUUCAUUUUCCCUUCCUUUUCCAUUCCCAUUCUUUUUCUUAAUUCAUACUCUCUCAUCUAGCCCCUCUUUCAGCCCUUGCCCUCUCUAUUAACUAUUUAUCCAUUUACUCCCUGACUCUCCGAUCAUUGGCAGUGGCACAGUUUCUACUGGUGGCUUCCCCUAUCUCUUUCUUUAUUUUCCUCCUCUCUUUGAUCCAUUGGAACCACCCUUAUCUUCCUCUCUCUUACUAACUUUCUUAUCAUCUUUCUCUUAAGAUUGCUUUUUCAGGUAGUGAAGUCUUCAAUAUUAUUUUCAAUAUUUUUCCCUUAAUUUUCUCUAGAAAAAAGAAUAAAAAACUUUUAAAGAUUAAUUAUAUUCUGGAUGAAGUUUAGGAUAAGUAUUUGAUUUCACUUUUUCUCUUAUUAGUAUUACUUAACAAAUGGAUAACAAUUUCUGAAGUUCAAGCAUAUCAAGUAAUAGUAAUAAAAAUUGUUAUUAUUACUUCAAAGGUUAUUCCUUUUACUCUUCGAUUUUUUGUUUACAAGCUUUUUAACUUUUAACUGAAUCUUCAGUGGUUUUGAUUUUAAAUUUUGUUUUAAUCUCUGUUUUUACAAACACUUAAAGAUUGUGUAAAUUAAUGUGGAAAAUAGAUGAUAGAUGGGAGAGCUGGCGACUGACAAACAUGUUAAGUACAUUUUAUCUAUUGAAAAGAGAAAGGAUUUUUUUAAUCGGUGGUGAUAGGCCAUCUAAGAAUGAAUGGGGCAUAUUGGGGAUUAACAUCCUUGGAUCUUUUGCGGAAGCUUGAUAUUGUUAAUGCAAAUCAGGUUAUUUCAUGGAUCAUGAAAUGCUUAGUUUUUUAUAUUUAAUUGCUAGUAUUAUUAGUGUAAGUAAAAAAAAUGUCUAGAUUUAAGUUAAUUAAAUCAUAAUAUUAAAGAAGUUUGAUGAUACUUUCUUAUACAUAUGGUUUUUUUGGUAAUAUUGGGCAUGACCCACAUAUACUGUAUACUCAGUGCUAUGCAAGUGUUGGCCCUUUUCAACAAGCUAGAUGUUCUUGACAUUAAUAAGGUUUGUCACAUUCUGAGAACACUGAAGCUGAUACUGAGAAAUUAAGUAUAGGCAUUGAGACAGCCAAUGUACUGAACAGCAUGAUAAAUUGCCUGGUAUUAAUUAGAAGCUCCAAUGGAUUGCUUGGUAUUAAUAAUAAGAUUUACUUGACCAAGAAGUUUUAUAACGAAGAGGGAGAGGCAGUGCGUCAUCAUGGAGUACAAUGCUAAAGUGAUGUUCUCCAUUCCUAGUGGAUCUUGUAAACAUGCUAAACGGGUAAGUUCUGAAGCUUGAUUCAAUCGAAGGUUCCAAAUUAUGGAAAAGAAUUAAUGCCUUGAUCUUAAACACAUGGCAUUGUUGGCUGCACACCAGAAGGAAAUAACCUGGGAUUUCAUCAAAUUGCAAUCAUAUGUUUUAAUUUGCAACAGAUGAAUUCUAAAGUAUGUUUAGUUGCAAUUAACUUUUGUACAUUUUAUAUUUUUAUGCUCACAUCUCAUGAUUAAAUUUGUUAACUAAUAGUGAUUCUGGUCUAUGUUUUUCAUUCUGUUGUAUUAAUAGGAUAGAGUUGGUUCUUUAAAAGGAGGUGUCAAGUUUUUCAAGAUUUGUGGGUUUGAGAAAGUUGAAUGAGAUUAGUUCCUAUA